CCUACGGGAGGCAGCAGUGGGGAAUAUUGGGCAAUGGAGGAAACUCUGACCCAGCAACGCCGCGUGAAUGAUGAAGGUCUUCGGAUUGUAAAGUUCUUUUCUAAGGGAAGAAGAAAGUGACGGUACCUUAGGAAUAAGCCUCGGCUAACUACGUGCCAGCAGCCGCGGUAAUACGUAGGAGGCAAGCGUUAUCCGGAAUGACUGGGCGUAAAGGGUGCGUAGGUGGUUUGACAAGUUGGUAGCGUAACUCCGAGGCUUAACCUCGGCACUACCACCAAAACUGUUAGACUCGAGUGCAGGAGGAGGAAAUGGAAUUCCUAGUGUAGCGGUGGAAUGCGUAGAUAUUGGGAGGAACACCAGUGGCGAAGGCGAUUUGCUGGACUGUAACUGACACUGAGGCACGAAAGCGUGGGGAGCGAACAGGAUUAGAUACCCUGGUAGUC
RNAcentral lists this ribosomal RNA (443 nucleotides) under uncultured bacterium. RNAcentral's name for it is "partial 16S ribosomal RNA". It matches the Rfam family "Bacterial small subunit ribosomal RNA", at positions 338 to 795 of the family's 1533-position model. The record is from RNAcentral.